Molecule: ribosomal RNA, 302 nt
Filed under: uncultured bacterium
Lineage: Bacteria
Description: bacterial SSU rRNA
Rfam family: Bacterial small subunit ribosomal RNA
Source: RNAcentral
AUUGAACGCUGGCGGCAGGCUUAACACAUGCAAGUCGAGCGGUAACAGAUCUAGCUUGCUAGAUGCUGACGAGCGGCGGACGGGUGAGUAACGCGUAGGAACCUGCCCAAUAGUGGGGGAUAGCCCGGUGAAAACCGGAUUAAUACCGCAUACGCUCUACGGAGGAAAGGGGGCUUCGGCUCUCGCUAUUGGAUGGGCCUGCGUGAGAUUAGCUAGUUGGUGAGGUAAUGGCUCACCAAGGCGACGAUCUCUAGCUGGUCUGAGAGGAUGAUCAGCCACACUGGGACUGAGACACGGCCCAG